GUGCACGGAUCACUUCUUUCGGAUAGAUGGGUCUCGAGUCUACAGUGUAGAGACAAUGAAACGAGAGUGCAGGAGGUUGUUAGAUAAUAACUAGCACUGAGUGUAACCAACAUGAGAAGUCACAUGGAUGUUUGCUUACUUAUUAGUGACUUUUUCGAUGCUGUAGUUAUAUGACUGAUCCUUUGACCUGAGAUGAUACUACUUCUCACAGUGAGGCUGCUGGAGUUUGACUGACACAUCCA
This 242-nucleotide long non-coding RNA is filed under the name Elaeis guineensis (African oil palm). Its description in RNAcentral is "long non-coding RNA (EGUI_LNC070806)". Lineage: Eukaryota; Viridiplantae; Streptophyta; Magnoliopsida; Arecales; Arecaceae. The record is from RNAcentral.